Molecule: ribosomal RNA, 253 nt
Filed under: uncultured bacterium
Lineage: Bacteria
Description: partial 16S ribosomal RNA
Rfam family: Bacterial small subunit ribosomal RNA
Source: RNAcentral
UACGGGGGGGGCAAGCGUUGUUCGGAAUUACUGGGCGUAAAGGGUGCGUAGGCGGCUUUCUAAGUUGGAUGUGAAAACUCUGGGCUCAACCCAGAGCCUGCAUCCAAAACUGGAAAGCUAGGGUUCUGGAGGGGAAAGCGGAAUUCCUGGUGUAGCGGUGAAAUGCGUAGAUAUCAGGAGGAACACCGGUGGCGAAGGCAGCCUUCUGGGCCAACACUGACGCUCAUGCACGAAAGCGUGGGGAGCAAACAGG